GGGUUGUGAGGUUAAGCGACUAAGCGUACACGGUGGAUGCCCUGGCAGUCAGAGGCGAUGAAGGACGUGCUAAUCUGCGAUAAGCGUCGGUAAGGUGAUAUGAACCGUUAUAACCGGCGAUUUCCGAAUGGGGAAACCCAGUGUGAUUCGUCACACUAUCAUUAACUGAAUCCAUAGGUUAAUGAGGCGAACCGGGGGAACUGAAACAUCUAAGUACCCCGAGGAAAAGAAAUCAACCGAGAUUCCCCCAGUAGCGGCGAGCGAACGGGGAGCAGCCCAGAGCCUGAAUCAGUGUGUGUGUUAGUGGAAGCGUCUGGAAAGGCGCGCGAUACAGGGUGACAGCCCCGUACACAAAAAUGCACAUGCUGUGAGCUCGAUGAGUAGGGCGGGACACGUGGUAUCCUGUCUGAAUAUGGGGGGACCAUCCUCCAAGGCUAAAUACUCCUGACUGACCGAUAGUGAACCAGUACCGUGAGGGAAAGGCGAAAAGAACCCCGGCGAGGGGAGUGAAAAAGAACCUGAAACCGUGUACGUACAAGCAGUGGGAGCACAGAGCAAUCUGUGUGACUGCGUACCUUUUGUAUAAUGGGUCAGCGACUUAUAUUCUGUAGCAAGGUUAACCGAAUAGGGGAGCCGAAGGGAAACCGAGUCUUAACUGGGCGUUAAGUUGCAGGGUAUAGACCCGAAACCCGGUGAUCUAGCCAUGGGCAGGUUGAAGGUUGGGUAACACUAACUGGAGGACCGAACCGACUAAUGUUGAAAAAUUAGCGGAUGACUUGUGGCUGGGGGUGAAAGGCCAAUCAAACCGGGAGAUAGCUGGUUCUCCCCGAAAGCUAUUUAGGUAGCGCCUCGUGAAUUCAUCUCCGGGGGUAGAGCACUGUUUCGGCAAGGGGGUCAUCCCGACUUACCAACCCGAUGCAAACUGCGAAUACCGGAGAAUGUUAUCACGGGAGACACACGGCGGGUGCUAACGUCCGUCGUGAAGAGGGAAACAACCCAGACCGCCAGCUAAGGUCCCAAAGUCAUGGUUAAGUGGGAAACGAUGUGGGAAGGCCCAGACAGCCAGGAUGUUGGCUUAGAAGCAGCCAUCAUUUAAAGAAAGCGUAAUAGCUCACUGGUCGAGUCGGCCUGCGCGGAAGAUGUAACGGGGCUAAACCAUGCACCGAAGCUGCGGCAGCGACACUAUGUGUUGUUGGGUAGGGGAGCGUUCUGUAAGCCUGUGAAGGUGUACUGUGAGGUAUGCUGGAGGUAUCAGAAGUGCGAAUGCUGACAUAAGUAACGAUAAAGCGGGUGAAAAGCCCGCUCGCCGGAAGACCAAGGGUUCCUGUCCAACGUUAAUCGGGGCAGGGUGAGUCGACCCCUAAGGCGAGGCCGAAAGGCGUAGUCGAUGGGAAACAGGUUAAUAUUCCUGUACUUGGUGUUACUGCGAAGGGGGGACGGAGAAGGCUAUGUUGGCCGGGCGACGGUUGUCCCGGUUUAAGCGUGUAGGCUGGUUUUCCAGGCAAAUCCGGAAAAUCAAGGCUGAGGCGUGAUGACGAGGCACUACGGUGCUGAAGCAACAAAUGCCCUGCUUCCAGGAAAAGCCUCUAAGCAUCAGGUAACAUCAAAUCGUACCCCAAACCGACACAGGUGGUCAGGUAGAGAAUACCAAGGCGCUUGAGAGAACUCGGGUGAAGGAACUAGGCAAAAUGGUGCCGUAACUUCGGGAGAAGGCACGCUGAUAUGUAGGUGAAGUCCCUCGCGGAUGGAGCUGAAAUCAGUCGAAGAUACCAGCUGGCUGCAACUGUUUAUUAAAAACACAGCACUGUGCAAACACGAAAGUGGACGUAUACGGUGUGACGCCUGCCCGGUGCCGGAAGGUUAAUUGAUGGGGUCAGCGCAAGCGAAGCUCUUGAUCGAAGCCCCGGUAAACGGCGGCCGUAACUAUAACGGUCCUAAGGUAGCGAAAUUCCUUGUCGGGUAAGUUCCGACCUGCACGAAUGGCGUAAUGAUGGCCAGGCUGUCUCCACCCGAGACUCAGUGAAAUUGAACUCGCUGUGAAGAUGCAGUGUACCCGCGGCAAGACGGAAAGACCCCGUGAACCUUUACUAUAGCUUGACACUGAACAUUGAGCCUUGAUGUGUAGGAUAGGUGGGAGGCUUUGAAGUGUGGACGCCAGUCUGCAUGGAGCCGACCUUGAAAUACCACCCUUUAAUGUUUGAUGUUCUAACGUUGACCCGUAAUCCGGGUUGCGGACAGUGUCUGGUGGGUAGUUUGACUGGGGCGGUCUCCUCCUAAAGAGUAACGGAGGAGCACGAAGGUUGGCUAAUCCUGGUCGGACAUCAGGAGGUUAGUGCAAUGGCAUAAGCCAGCUUGACUGCGAGCGUGACGGCGCGAGCAGGUGCGAAAGCAGGUCAUAGUGAUCCGGUGGUUCUGAAUGGAAGGGCCAUCGCUCAACGGAUAAAAGGUACUCCGGGGAUAACAGGCUGAUACCGCCCAAGAGUUCAUAUCGACGGCGGUGUUUGGCACCUCGAUGUCGGCUCAUCACAUCCUGGGGCUGAAGUAGGUCCCAAGGGUAUGGCUGUUCGCCAUUUAAAGUGGUACGCGAGCUGGGUUUAGAACGUCGUGAGACAGUUCGGUCCCUAUCUGCCGUGGGCGCUGGAGAACUGAGGGGGGCUGCUCCUAGUACGAGAGGACCGGAGUGGACGCAUCACUGGUGUUCGGGUUGUCAUGCCAAUGGCACUGCCCGGUAGCUAAAUGCGGAAGAGAUAAGUGCUGAAAGCAUCUAAGCACGAAACUUGCCCCGAGAUGAGUUCUCCCUGACUCCUUGAGAGUCCUGAAGGAACGUUGAAGACGACGACGUUGAUAGGCCGGGUGUGUAAGCGCAGCGAUGCGUUGAGCUAACCGGUACUAAUGAACCGUGAGGCUUAACCUUACAACGCCGAAGGUGUUU
This 2932-nucleotide ribosomal RNA is filed under the name Escherichia coli. Its description in RNAcentral is "23S ribosomal RNA". It matches the Rfam family "Bacterial large subunit ribosomal RNA". The record is from RNAcentral. Lineage: Bacteria; Pseudomonadati; Pseudomonadota; Gammaproteobacteria; Enterobacterales; Enterobacteriaceae.